UGCAACUCGACUCCAUGAAGCUGGAUUCGCUAGUAAUCGCGCAUCAGCCAUGGCGCGGUGAAUACGUUCCCGGGCCCUUGUACACACCGCCCGUCAAGCCAUGGGAGUCGGGAGUGCCUGAAGUUCGUGACCGUCACAGGAGCGACCUAAGGCAAGACCGAUGACUGGGGCUAAGUCGUAACAAGGUAAC
This 190-nucleotide ribosomal RNA is filed under the name uncultured bacterium. RNAcentral's name for it is "partial 16S ribosomal RNA". It matches the Rfam family "Bacterial small subunit ribosomal RNA", at positions 1306 to 1500 of the family's 1533-position model. The record is from RNAcentral.